GGCUUGAUCGGAAAUGGACGGGGACUGCUGCUCCGUUUCAAGCAGAGGUAGAUAUGGAGAAGAUAAUGGAAGAGAGGAAUCGGGUUCUUGGGGACCCGCUCACCGAGGAGGAGGCGGAGUACCUGGUUGAGCGGUAUCGGCACAGCGAUUGUUCCAGGCAAAUUAAUCUAGGUAAUUAUUGUCUGAAAAUAUACUAUAUACUUGCAUAACAGUGGGAUAUAUUUUAUCAUUAGACAGUAUAAUCCCGUUAUCGCCUAGAAAGAGUUGGUACUGUAAAUUAGUUGUCAUGGAUUUUAUUCUCUGUUUUUGGAUAUGGUGUCGUUUUCUGAAUUUGUUUGUACAAGUACUUGAAUUCAAAUGUUCAGCUGUCAUGGAUAGUUUUGAACUUCCAUAUACAGCUUCAGCAACUUGUUUAUAGACUAUAUAGGUGAUUGAACCUUCCCAUGUCUUAUUCUUGGAGAUGGAAAACCAGUUUAAACAAAAUGUUCCCAUGACGGCCAGACCAGGUUGUUUCUUAGUGGAUUGUCCGUUUAUUUUAUGUUAGGGAAGGGGGGAGUCACUCACAACAUGUUGGAUGAUAUCCACAAUCACUGGAAGAGAGCAGAAGCUGUGAGAAUCAAGUGCUUGGGAGUGCCUACCCUUGAUAUGGACAAUGUCUGCUUCCAUCUUGAGGUGUGGCUUUAAUAAAGUAUCUACGGGUAAAUUUUUUUUUUUUUUUUUUUUUUUUAAAUUUUUGGGGAUUUUUAGCUGAUGCAGCUGUUUGUGGGUUUUCGCCAUUCGGGCCGGGUCGGCUUGAUCGGAAAUGGACGGGGACUGCUGCUCCGUUUCAAGCAGAGGUAGAUAUGGAGAAGAUAAUGGAAGAGAGGAAUCGGGUUCUUGGGGACCCGCUCACCGAGGAGGAGGCGGAGUACCUGGUUGAGCGGUAUCGGCACAGCGAUUGUUCCAGGCAAAUUAAUCUAGGUAAUUAUUGUCUGAAAAUAUACUAUAUACUUGCAUAACAGUGGGAUAUAUUUUAUCAUUAGACAGUAUAAUCCCGUUAUCGCCUAGAAAGAGUUGGUACUGUAAAUUAGUUGUCAUGGAUUUUAUUCUCUGUUUUUGGAUAUGGUGUCGUUUUCUGAAUUUGUUUGUACAAG
This 1133-nucleotide long non-coding RNA is filed under the name Jatropha curcas. RNAcentral's name for it is "long non-coding RNA (JCUR_LNC001123)". Lineage: Eukaryota; Viridiplantae; Streptophyta; Magnoliopsida; Malpighiales; Euphorbiaceae. The record is from RNAcentral.